UCUGCGUUAAAAAUUAAUAAUACAAUUUUUAAUUAUAAUUUUAUUUAUUAUUUGUGCUAUAAUGAUUAACAUGUUGGAGUUUGUUAUACGCAUGCUCAAGGAGUGCAACAUGCAUGUGGGCAAAUCAAGAGUGUUGGCUGUUCAGACCAGCAUCUGAUGGGCUAUAUUUAAAAUGUCAUGUGAACAACCUAAACAAAAAUACAGAUUUGAGCAAAAAAUCAGGUCUGGGCCACAUUCACCUGCGAUGUGAACGUAGCCUUAGAUCAUCAGUGCUACAGCUUCUCUCGCAGCAGUCUGCGGCUCAGCGGACACGUGUGGAGUUUAUAGUGAGCACGCAGUGAGCAGCGCACUGGCGCAUUUUUGCUGAACAUCAACCUGUUAAUUUGUAAUAAUGUUGAUACACAUAUAUAAAAAGAGGAAUCUCUACAAACAAACGAUGUGAUUAAGCUUUCACUCCUGUUUUUGAACAACAAAGUACACUAUAGCUUGUUCUCAGUGGGACUCUGGAACUGCCAGUCUGCUGUGAACAAAGCUGCAGUCAUUCCAGCCUUUGCCACACAGUUCACCCUCAGCAUCCUGGCACUGACGGAGACAUGGAUACGUCCUGAGGAUACAGCAACACCUGCUGCUCUCUCCAACAACUUCUCCUUCUCUCACACCCCUUGUCAUACCGGUAGUUGUGGGGGAACAGGUUUGCUCAUUCAUAAUAACUGGACUUUUUCACCACAGGCUUCGCUAUGUAACAAUACAUCUUUUGAAUUCCAUGCCAUUACUACAAUGCAUCCCACAAAAAUACAUGUUGUUGUCUUCUAUCGCCCUCCAGGUCAGCUGACAAGCUUUCUUGAGGAGUUGGAUGUCCUGGUGUCCUCCUUGCCAGAGGAUGGCAGGCCACUUGUGGUUCUUGGUGAUUUCAACAUACACCAAGACAAGCCUCAGGCCACUGGACUGAAUACUCUUCUGACCUCAUUUGAUUUGGAAAGGCUACACACCACAGCAACUCACAGAUCGGGCAACCAGCUGGACCUCAUUUUUACACACCAGUUCGUACUACACCACCCAGCCUGUUCUUCGUGAACAUCAGACUGAUCUCAGAGCAGAUGAGAGGAGAUGGCAUAAAUCUAGAGAUCCAGCAGAUCUAGAGCUCACAAGAAAACACGAGCCGUAGUCGAGCGGGGUAUUGGUCAACUAAAGAGGCGCUUUCACAUUUUACAUGGAGAGGUGUGACUGGCACCAGGAAAGGUCUGCAAAGUGAUAACAGCCUGUGCAGUGCUUCAUAACAUCUGUAAAGCUAGACAAAUCGCAGACCCUCCCACGGACAACUGGGCUGAUGAAGAGGAUGAUGAAGAAUACCCUCCACAAGGGAGAGAUCUGUCCCAAAGUGGGAAUCCUUACAGAGCCCAGUUUACUAAUUUGCAUUUCAUGGAUGGUGUUGGAGCAGCUGCAGCAGAAGGCAGGGAAUGAGGCGCUUCGGGCUGAGGGUCGUACAUCUGCGAUGUCGACGGUCCCCAUUCCUCUGCUGAAGGCUCAGUGCUACUGAGAGCAGAAAACAUAUAAUCUCUGUUAUUUUAAAUAAAUUUAGGCCAAUUAUUUUUUUUUUUCAGUUCAAAGAAUGCCAG
Long non-coding RNA from Xyrauchen texanus (razorback sucker), 1616 nucleotides. RefSeq lists it as uncharacterized. The transcript has 4 exons. NCBI's taxonomy places the organism in Eukaryota, Metazoa, Chordata, Actinopteri, Cypriniformes, Catostomidae. The record is from RefSeq and is a predicted model, not a curated record.